RNAcentral lists this ribosomal RNA (554 nucleotides) under Bifidobacterium bifidum. Its description in RNAcentral is "bacterial SSU rRNA". It matches the Rfam family "Bacterial small subunit ribosomal RNA", at positions 146 to 711 of the family's 1533-position model. The record is from RNAcentral. Lineage: Bacteria; Bacillati; Actinomycetota; Actinomycetes; Bifidobacteriales; Bifidobacteriaceae.
UCUCCUGGAAACGGGUGGUAAUGCCGGAUGUUCCACAUGAUCGCAUGUGAUUGUGGGAAAGAUUUCAUCGGCGUGGGAUGGGGUCGCGUCCUAUCAGCUUGUUGGUGAGGUAACGGCUCACCAAGGCUUCGACGGGUAGCCGGCCUGAGAGGGCGACCGGCCACAUUGGGACUGAGAUACGGCCCAGACUCCUACGGGAGGCAGCAGUGGGGAAUAUUGCACAAUGGGCGCAAGCCUGAUGCAGCGACGCCGCGUGAGGGAUGGAGGCCUUCGGGUUGUAAACCUCUUUUGUUUGGGAGCAAGCCUUCGGGUGAGUGUACCUUUCGAAUAAGCGCCGGCUAACUACGUGCCAGCAGCCGCGGUAAUACGUAGGGCGCAAGCGUUAUCCGGAUUUAUUGGGCGUAAAGGGCUCGUAGGCGGCUCGUCGCGUCCGGUGUGAAAGUCCAUCGCUUAACGGUGGAUCUGCGCCGGGUACGGGCGGGCUGGAGUGCGGUAGGGGAGACUGGAAUUCCCGGUGUAACGGUGGAAUGUGUAGAUAUCGGAAAAAAACACCA